AGACAUGGGACAUGAUCCAGGGGAUGGGAAUUUUCGAUCAAUUUUCCAUAUUUUAAUAGUCUUCACUUUGCUCAAUUCAUGCUCCACAGAGCCACACGCCAAGACGAAAUGCUCCCUAGAGUGCUAUGCACUUUGUAUGCAAUCUGGAACGGUGAGUAAAAAAAUCCCAAUUAUCAUGGUCCCGCCACGAAAAAUCCAAAUUUAAAGGUGCAUAGGUUGAAAAUUUUUCAAAAUUUUUCGCAAAAAAAUAUCUCACAGCGAAAACUACAGUAAUUCUCUAAAUGACUACUGUAGCGCUUGUGUCGAUUUACGAGUUUUAAUCAGUUUCGAAAUCGAGCCCGUAAAUCGACACUAGAGCUACAGUAUUGUAUUCAUUUACAGAAUUACUGUAGUUUUCGCUGCGAGAUAUUUUGCGCGUCAAAUAUGUUGCAUACUACGUAUUCUCAGAAUUUUGUGUUCCAGUAGGUUUAAUUCUGCAACGUAGCCGCGGAAGAGAAACCUCGGCCACCAACUUUUUUUUCAGAGACCACACUUUAGCUAAGGUCGAGCUAGAAUUUGGAAUAUUUCGAAAAAUUUUUGACCAAUUUUUUUAAAUGUUUUAUAAAAAUAUGUUUUCAUAUUUUUUCGGUACAACUAAGUCAAGUGGUCGAACCUCGUCUUGAGUGAUGGAUUAGACGCGCCAAAUUGUUGGGUCAACUGUCAAACUCUUGUUCAUUCUCUGAAGACUUAGAUACUUUUGAAGAUUUUGUUGCGGGCCCCACCGCUAAGUGGAUUUAGUGGGAGUGGGAGGCGAUUAGAUGAGAGAAAGGGAGAUGGGGGACGAAGAGUGAAACUUCUGCGGAGAGAAGGUAAUUGUAAUUUAGAGUAUAGAGUUAUUAUGGUGAAAGUUAGAGCAGGCGAACGUUGAGAAAAUUGUUUUUUUGUGAAAUGGAAACUUAAAAGUAGCCAGAAGUCGGUGCAUUUUUCAUGGGGUACGCUCUGUAAAAAUUGAAGAAAUUUUAAAAUUCUAAGUGAGUUGGUCACAAGCGAGACUCAUAUUUAAAAAAAACAUACUUCGAUUCUUUGAUUAAGCUCCAGCUCCAAUUUUCAGCCAAUCUCCUCUACGUGUAACUGUCCAGUAGCUAAAGAACCUUCAAAUUGUACACGGUUUGAUGCCGACUUGCAAUCUGG
RNAcentral lists this small RNA (1170 nucleotides) under Caenorhabditis elegans. Its description in RNAcentral is "Unclassified non-coding RNA Y39H10A.10". Lineage: Eukaryota; Metazoa; Nematoda; Chromadorea; Rhabditida; Rhabditidae. The record is from RNAcentral.